RNAcentral lists this ribosomal RNA (1353 nucleotides) under Salmonella enterica subsp. enterica serovar Enteritidis. RNAcentral describes it as "partial 23S ribosomal RNA". It matches the Rfam family "Bacterial large subunit ribosomal RNA", at positions 1540 to 2867 of the family's 2925-position model. Lineage: Bacteria; Pseudomonadati; Pseudomonadota; Gammaproteobacteria; Enterobacterales; Enterobacteriaceae. The record is from RNAcentral.
AUCCGGUUCACUUUAACACUGAGGCGUGACGACGAGGCACUACGGUGCUGAAGCAACAAAUGCCCUGCUUCCAGGAAAAGCCUCUAAGCAUCAGGUAACAUCAAAUCGUACCCCAAACCGACACAGGUGGUCAGGUAGAGAAUACCAAGGCGCUUGAGAGAACUCGGGUGAAGGAACUAGGCAAAAUGGUGCCGUAACUUCGGGAGAAGGCACGCUGACACGUAGGUGAAGUGAUUUACUCAUGGAGCUGAAGUCAGUCGAAGAUACCAGCUGGCUGCAACUGUUUAUUAAAAACACAGCACUGUGCAAACACGAAAGUGGACGUAUACGGUGUGACGCCUGCCCGGUGCCGGAAGGUUAAUUGAUGGGGUCAGCGCAAGCGAAGCUCCUGAUCGAAGCCCCGGUAAACGGCGGCCGUAACUAUAACGGUCCUAAGGUAGCGAAAUUCCUUGUCGGGUAAGUUCCGACCUGCACGAAUGGCGUAAUGAUGGCCAGGCUGUCUCCACCCGAGACUCAGUGAAAUUGAACUCGCUGUGAAGAUGCAGUGUACCCGCGGCAAGACGGAAAGACCCCGUGAACCUUUACUAUAGCUUGACACUGAACAUUGAGCCUUGAUGUGUAGGAUAGGUGGGAGGCUUUGAAGUGUGGACGCCAGUCUGCAUGGAGCCGACCUUGAAAUACCACCCUUUAAUGUUUGAUGUUCUAACGUGGACCCGUUACCCGGGUUGCGGACAGUGUCUGGUGGGUAGUUUGACUGGGGCGGUCUCCUCCUAAAGAGUAACGGAGGAGCACGAAGGUUGGCUAAUCCUGGUCGGACAUCAGGAGGUUAGUGCAAUGGCAUAAGCCAGCUUGACUGCGAGCGUGACGGCGCGAGCAGGUGCGAAAGCAGGUCAUAGUGAUCCGGUGGUUCUGAAUGGAAGGGCCAUCGCUCAACGGAUAAAAGGUACUCCGGGGAUAACAGGCUGAUACCGCCCAAGAGUUCAUAUCGACGGCGGUGUUUGGCACCUCGAUGUCGGCUCAUCACAUCCUGGGGCUGAAGUAGGUCCCAAGGGUAUGGCUGUUCGCCAUUUAAAGUGGUACGCGAGCUGGGUUUAGAACGUCGUGAGACAGUUCGGUCCCUAUCUGCCGUGGGCGCUGGAGAACUGAGGGGGGCUGCUCCUAGUACGAGAGGACCGGAGUGGACGCAUCACUGGUGUUCGGGUUGUCAUGCCAAUGGCACUGCCCGGUAGCUAAAUGCGGAAGAGAUAAGUGCUGAAAGCAUCUAAGCACGAAACUUGCCCCGAGAUGAGUUCUCCCUGAGACUUAAAGUCUCCUGAAGGAACGUUGAAGACGACGACGUUGAUAGGCCGGGUG